This 253-nucleotide ribosomal RNA is filed under the name uncultured bacterium. RNAcentral's name for it is "partial 16S ribosomal RNA". It matches the Rfam family "Bacterial small subunit ribosomal RNA", at positions 524 to 776 of the family's 1533-position model. The record is from RNAcentral.
UACGAAGGGGGCUAGCGUUGCUCGGAAUGACUGGGCGUAAAGGGCGCGUAGGCGGAUUGCUUUGUCGGGCGUGAAAUUCCAGGGCUCAACCUUGGGACUGCGUUCGAGACGGGUGAUCUUGAGUGGGGAAGAGGGUCGUGGAAUUCCCAGUGUAGAGGUGAAAUGCGUUGAUAUCGGGAGGAACACCCAUGGCGAAGGCAGCAUACUGGUCGGCAUCUGACGCUGAGGCGCGAAAGCGUGGGUAGCAAACAGG